This 460-nucleotide ribosomal RNA is filed under the name uncultured bacterium. RNAcentral's name for it is "partial 16S ribosomal RNA". It matches the Rfam family "Bacterial small subunit ribosomal RNA", at positions 338 to 795 of the family's 1533-position model. The record is from RNAcentral.
CCUACGGGAGGCAGCAGUGAGGAAUAUUGGUCAAUGGGCGUAAGCCUGAACCAGCCAAGUCGCGUGAGGGAUGAAGGUUCUAUGGAUCGUAAACCUCUUUUAUAAGGGAAUAAAGUGCGGGACGUGUCCCGUUUUGUAUGUACCUUAUGAAUAAGGAUCGGCUAACUCCGUGCCAGCAGCCGAGGUAAUACGGAGGAUCCGAGCGUUAUCCGGGUUGAGUGGGUUUAAAGGGUGCGUGGGGGGGCUUUUAAGUCAGCGGUGAAAGUCGGGGGCUCAACCAUCGAAUGGCCGUUGAAACUGGGAGGGUUGAGUGUGUGUGAGGCAGGAGGAAGGCGGGGUGUGGCGGGGGAGUGCUGAGAGAUAACGCAGAACGCCGAGGGGGAAGGCAGCCUGCCAAGCCAUGAGUGACGCUGAGGGACGAAAGCGUGGGGAUCAAACAGGAUUAGAUACCCUUGUAGUC